RNAcentral lists this long non-coding RNA (972 nucleotides) under Salvia miltiorrhiza (redroot sage). Its description in RNAcentral is "long non-coding RNA (SMIL_LNC014089)". Lineage: Eukaryota; Viridiplantae; Streptophyta; Magnoliopsida; Lamiales; Lamiaceae. The record is from RNAcentral.
UAGGCCCAGUUCAUUUCGGCACGGAGAUUAAGAAACUCAUUUUUAGUAGGUAAAUGGUGUGGUACACCAAUAAUUAAGGUUUUAAAUGUUCUCUUAUUUUUCCUUAAUCAUAUUUGCUUCAUUAUCUCAUUUUUCAUUUAAUUUAACUAAAUUAAAUUUGCAUUGCAAUUUAUUGCACGAAUUAAUCAGGGGAAAUUCUGGAAAUUAAUUAGAGGAAUCAAACACUACGAAUUCAAUAGCAGCACCCAACAAAAUUAUGAGAAAGAACUUAGAAAAUCGUCCUUCUACCCAUUUGACAAUCAACAAAAUCAACAAAUCAACAAAUCGACCUUCUAUCCAUUUCUCAGAGUUUGAAAAUUAAUAAAACAACAAAAUCGUCCUUCUACCCAUUUGACAGCAACAAAUCAACAAAUCAAAGAACUUAGAAAUCAAACUCAGAGAAAGAAAAUUCCAGAUCUGCAACCCCACCCAAAAUCAGCGAUUUCAGCCACCACAUCGUCUUCCUCACCAGAUCUGGGGAUCCUGGUGUACAAGACGGAUGGAGGUGGUGGAGACCGAAGACGCGGUGGAGACGGUAGAACGUGGUGGAGACGGUAGAACGCGGUGGAGGCGGCUAGGGUUUACGUCGCUAGAGACGACGGUAGAGGUUCCGGGAUCUGGAGGGGGAGAAGACCACCAUAACUGGGAGAGGGGAGAAAGAGAGCGACGACGACGGCGGAAAUGGCGGUGGCGCUCGUCGUUGAGAAAGAGAAUGGAAAAGGCGGAAGAUGGGAGAAGGGGAGGGGAGAAGAACAGCGGCCGAGUGAAUUCCAAAAUGAGAGUUUUUAGAGUUUUUAGAGUUUUAAUUAUGGUUUAAUCUAGUAGUUAUAAUUUUAAUUAGAGCCCUAAUUAUUUCCUAUUUUAAACUGGGCCUAUUGGAGUGGGACGUCCCAAAAAGGAAAGCGAGCCUAUUGGGCUGGGACGGAGGGAGUA